AUGGUUUUGACAGUGAAGGUUGAAUGUGAUGGUGUCGUGAAGGGGGGUGUUCCGGGGAGGUGGUUGUUGAUGAUGGGUAAGAGUUGCAGAAAAGAUGGAGGAAGCAACGGAGAUUUGAGGAGGCGAUCCGGUUCCAGGCAUUCCGCGUGAUGUUGUGAGUAUGAAACUGUGGUCAGCAGGGCCGGUGGUGGUCAACGAGCUAUUGAGUAGGCCACAACAGCUUAAUCAGCAAGGUCGUGCACUGGGAUAGCAAUAGAAGUAGCAACACUUGCAAGUAUUAACUUUAAAGAUACUUUAAAUGAGUGGCAUGACAAAGUUGGUGAGGUGACUGUGGAUCAAUAGUCGCAUCUUGUUAUAUCCAGUCACAAAUGCCUCUUUGGGUGGAACUUUAGUUUAAUGGUCAAUGUUCUUACAUUUUUUUAUCAUUCAGGCCACGUCUUGUCACUGCCUCUGCUCACGUAGCAGCUGCAAACCCACCCAGUAUGGAUUUGGACCUACAUGUUGUUCCUAACUUAACAUUUAGGUCAUGCCUUGUUGCUGCUACGGAUGUUGUAUGCUUUGAUGUGGAUAACAUCGUGUGUAUGGAUGAAGACAUUGCUGGAAAAGCUGUUGUUGAGUGGACUGCAAGUCCCUUUUCCGGAAGUUUUAGCUGCCAGACUUGAUCUUUUCAAACCUUCAUCAUCAACAGUCUUGAGAAGCGACCCCCCAGGCUUCCUUUUGGCAUAAAGGAAUUGGUGGUUAUUUGAUAUCUGGAGGGUUUUGUCAAAUGAUCAAUGCGGUAAUUGCUGUUGGAGUUUUUCUACAAGGGCUGGGGGAUGAAUACUAUAAGGUACUACUGUUGCAAUGCAUUUCUUAUAUUAAUUCUUAUCCAUAUACUUAGGAAUGGGUCUAUUCGGGUUAUGUUUAAUCUAAAAUGGGAAAAUUUAAACAAAUCAUUCAUAAAUGAAUCAAAUCAAAUGGCCAAACAACUAGAUAUUAAUUUUCUUUUCUUUUACUGAUUUUUGAGUGACGUGAGUCCCCUGCAAUUAACUUAUUUGAAUCGUAUUGUAAUGCAACCAUGCAUACUUAUUUUGUAGAGGCGUUGUUUAUAUGAUAAUCAUGAUGUGGUCAGUGGUACACUUCGUUUUUUUUUUAUUUAUACCCAGCAUCCUCUAUCUCUCAAAAAGAAGGAAGUAAUUGACCCGACACACAAAGUGUUGAACCCGACCCAAGCCGUACUAGAAACUGUCCGGUUGACAUUAUGUGCAGGUUUGUGACAUGAAUACAUAUAUAUAUAUAUACGUGGAGGUGAUGGUUUCAUUGAUGGGCUAAGAGACAUCAGA
RNAcentral lists this long non-coding RNA (1322 nucleotides) under Helianthus annuus (common sunflower). The record is from RNAcentral. Lineage: Eukaryota; Viridiplantae; Streptophyta; Magnoliopsida; Asterales; Asteraceae.